Archocentrus centrarchus (flier cichlid) is the source of this 660-nucleotide long non-coding RNA. RefSeq lists it as uncharacterized. The transcript is spliced from 3 exons. Lineage: Eukaryota; Metazoa; Chordata; Actinopteri; Cichliformes; Cichlidae. The record is from RefSeq and is a predicted model, not a curated record.
UGUGGGGUUUACAGAGAAUGGUCUGAAAAACAGAAAAUAGCAGCAAUUCUCUGUAUAUUAACAAUUAUGUACACACGCCCACCGAUGUAGGUCAUGAAGCAGAAAAUAAUCUGAUAGGAGCUCAGACCCUGCCCCUGCUUCAGCUCAGCACAUAAAAAGGAGCAGCGGGAGACCCCUGCAUCUGUAGAUCUGGUUUCAUCGCUCAAAUCUGCAGUUUCUUCUGGUAAAGUAGCAAAAUGUACGGACACAAUGAAGAUAAACAUGAUGGACACGAGCACGGACACGGACACGGGCACGGACACGGGCAUGGCCACGGACACGGACACGGGCACGGGCACGGCCACGGACACGCACAUGGCCACGGACACGGACACGCACAUGGACAUGGACAUGGCCACUAAAAGGAAAGGACAGCCAUGGGCAGUUCCUGCAGCAGCGACUCUGACUAGAUGAACAGUGUUAGACGUGAACCUGGAGACCUUCAUGCUCCUGUCUUAUCAUUUGACUGCCUGCAGUUUCUUUACAAACGGAUUUAAUUAAGAAUUAACAGAGCUGACAAAGUUAUUUUAGACCAUUGUGAACCUUUACAGGCAUGAUUUUAUCCAGUGUUUGUCAGAAAAUAAAUAAAAGUGAUGAAAGUAUCAUCUUUAUGACAUUUUA